AUGAGCCUACGAGGUCGGUUCUGUUACUGUCGCCACUUCAGGGGUAGGAAACAGUCCCGGAGGGAUGGGGAACUUCCCGAGGUCACUGAACUGGUGUCAGGCCCGGAAUGGAAUCCAAACACAUCCCAGUCCAAGCCCGGCUCCACAGCGCCGGCCCCCAGCCGUCUUCUGGGGUCCCAGUGGCACCCGCGUCCAUUCAAAUGCUGCCCUAGUCCCCCUCUCCAGUCGCUUCCCGCUACUCCGUGCGCGCAUCGUCCCCCACCCCUCAGGGGCAGGCCUCUCGGUGGCUCUUCCUUUUUGUCUGCCAGAAACUGAGGGGUGAGACCGACGUUUGUCCCGAACGCGUGCAGGUGGCCGCGACGAUCCCGGGAGACACGCAGGGGAGAAUGAGUCAGAGCGCGCGGCUAUGGGAAGCCCCGACCAGGCUUUCCGCGAGCCUGUCUGCCAGAGCAGCGAGCGCGAGGGCCGACUCCGCCCCCGGAGCGCAGGCUCGGCCCGGGGCGCGUUAUCACGCAGCGGAGAGGUCCCUUCUUUUUUUUUUUUUUUUUUUGAGACGGAGUUUCGCUCUUGUUACCCAGGCUGGAGUGUAAUGGCGCCAUCUCGGCUCACCGCAACCUCCGCCUCCUGGGUUCAGGCAAUUCUCCUGCCUCAGCCUCCCGAGUAGCUGGGACUACAGGCACGCGCCACCAUGCCCAGCUAGUUUUUUUGUAAUUUUAGUAGAGACGGGGUUUCACCAUGUUGACCAGGAUGGUCUCGAUUUCAUGACCUCGUGAUCCACCCGCCUCGGCCUCCCAAAGUGCUGGGAUUACAGGCUUGAGCCACCACGCCCGGCCUCGGAGAGGUCCCUUCAAACCCAGUCAGGUGAACCGUACCGCGGGGGAGCCACGUGGUGCCGAGAGCGCAGCCCCGCCCCGCCCCGCCCCGCCCCGCCGCGUCACGCCCGCGCUCGGCCCCGCGCUUAACCGUUAGUCGGGUAACUGCCCGCGGUGCCCUAGCUGCUUGUGUGGGAUCGGAAGGACCCUCGCGGGAGAGGAUACCAAGUCUCCAGGGGGAGGUAGGCGGCCUCACUGAGGGCUUCGUGGCCGCAGGCAGCUGUGUUAUCUCGGAGAGCGGCGUCGGUGGAGGGGCGGCCAGGUGUUUGGCCACGGGCUCCCAGAGAGCAAUGUGGCCAAGUGACCUGGGGUAAUCACUUCGUCCUCACAGGAGAUGCUUUUUUUGUCUGGAAGAAUAGUGACUGGGCUGUAAAAACAAAUGCGCCUACCUUCCAGGCUCUCCCGACCGACCGGAGAUAACCCCUCGGGGGGUGACGGGGGAGGAGGAUGAGGUGGGGUUUGUUUUGGGGAUUGUGCCUUGCCACCUAUCACCUUCUAAUCUUUGAACUCUAUUUGUUCCUCUUCCUUUAAUUUAACCUGACAAAUAAUCUCCCCAAUUAGUGAUUUCCGUGACUUUGCUUUGCCCAUAGGAAUUCUCAUUCCUUCCCGUCCCUGUUCUCUGCUUUGUAGCAUGUGACCCUUGUAUUAUCUUUGUUUGCUGUCUUCUCUAACAGAUAGUAAGUUUCUUUCUUUUCUUUUUUUGAGAUGGCGUUUCGCUCUUGUUUCAUUCUUGUUGCCCAGGCUGCAGUGCAGUGGUGGAUCUUGGCUCCCUGCAACUUCAGUUGCACCCUCUGCCUCCCGAGUUCUCCUGCGUCAGGCUCCUGAGUAGCUGGGAUUACAGGCAUCUGCCACCACGCCCAGUUAAUUUUUGUAUUUUUAGUAGUGAUGGGGUUUCAUCAUGUUGGCCAGGCUGGUCUCGAACUCCUGACCUCAGGUGACCCACCGGCUUUGGCCUCCCAAAGCUCUGGGAUUACAGGUGUGAGCCACUGCUCCUGGCCCAAGAUGGUAAGUUUCUUUAAGGUAGUGACUAUCAUUGUAGUUCCCAUAACUACAUGGUUAACACGUGGUUAAAUAGAAGUAACAGUGGGUAUCUUCAAUUAAUUUUUGGGUAAUUACUGUGACCUGUGGAGUAUCCUUCUGUUGUGGUCCCAGUCAGUUGCAUCAGUGACAUUACUUAAAUGAGCGCCAAACUUUGUUGUCUUCAGUAACUCAACUUUAAGAUGCAGGCCUGGCUGGGCACGGUGGCUCACACCCUAAUCCCAGCACUUUGGGAGGCCCAAACAGGUGGAUCACCUGAGGUCAGGAGUUCAAGAUCAGCCUGGCCAACAUGGUGAAACCCCAUCUCUACUAAAAAUACAAAAAUUAGUUGGGCGUGGUGGUGUAUGCCUGUAAUCCCAGCUGCUCAGGAGGCUGAGUCAGGAGAAUUGCUUCAACCCGGGAGGCAGAGGUUGCAGUGAGCUGAGAUCGCACCACUGCACUCCAGCCUGCUGACAGAGCAAGACUCCGUCUAAAAAAAAAAAGAAUAGGUGCCUCAUGACUUCAUUGUACAAAUCUUCUCUCUCCAUACAAAAGAAAGACUAACUCACUCAUUCCAGCUCAAAACCUUUGGGGAGAAAAUGUGUAGCUCUGGAGAGAAAAAUAUUGAAGGAGACACAGACUUAUUUCACCUAAGCAUCAGACUUCUGCCAUGUAUGUAUGUGAUUGCCUUUUAUCAUGCUUAGAAUUUGAAAGAGUGAUGGUUAUAACAGAAAUGUUUAUCAGCUCACUGCUUUGAAUGCAAAUGAGUUCAGACCUUUUGAAGACUGGCCCCUUAGAGGCCCUUUUCCAUAAACCAAGUGAGCAAAGCACCAAGGUCUUGACAAAGAUAUAUUUAAAGCAAUUAUAACACAACAUACAAUAUGGCAGAAAUUAUAUCUUUGCAACUAUUAAACAGCACAUUUUAGUAUGCAGUGUGUAAGCGGAUAUAUAUACCAAAGUUCUUUUGGGACAAAACAGUUGAAGACCACAGACCUGGGAGUCACUUUAACACACAGUUAGUUCUCUUCAGUGUAACUCUGCGAUGUUAGGUUAAAAGACAAUAGUAUGGCUGGGUGUGGUGGCUCACGCCUAUAAUCCCAGCACUUUGGGAGGCUGAGGUGGGCAAAUCAAGUGGUCAGGAGUUUGAAACCAGCCUAGCCAACAUGGUAAAACCCCGUCUCUACUAAAAAUACAAAAAACUAGCUGGGCGUAGUGGCAGGUGCCUGUCAUCCCAGCUAUUCAGGAGGCUGAGGCAGGAGAAUCGCUUGAACCCGGGAGGCAGAGGUUAGGGUGAGCUGAGAUCGUGCCACUGCACUCUAGCUUGGGCAACAAGAGAGAAACUCCGUCUCAAACAAGUUCCUGCUUUAAUGCACCGUAUUUCUUUUGUGGGGAGAGACUGAGAAUGAUAAGAGGCAACAUAGCCUAGUGCUAAAGAGCACAGACUUGGGAGCCAUUCUGAUUAGGUUUGAAUGCUUCUCUAUCACAUCCUGAGAAAGCUGCUUAACCUUUCUGUUCCUCCAUUUCCCCAACUCUUUUUUUUUUUUGAGAUGAAGUCUUGCUCUGUCGCCAGACUGGAGUGCAGUGGCAUGAUCUCAGCUCACUGUAACCUCUGCCUCCCGGGCUCAAGCAAUUCUCCUGCCUCAUCCUCCCGAGUAGCUGGAACUACAGGCAUGCAUCGCACGCCCAGCUAAUUUUUUUGUAUUUUUAGUAGAGACGGGGUUUCACUAUAUUGGCCAGGAUGGUCUCUAUCUCCUGACCUCGUGAUCCACCUGCCUCAGCCUCCCGAAGUGCGGGGAUACAGGCAUGAGCCACUACGACUGGCCUCCCCAGCUCUUCAUUUGGGAAGAGUAAUAGUACUUGUUUUAUAGGGUUGUUGAAAGUAUUAAAUCAGUUAAUCAAGUAAAGUGCUUAAUCUAACUGUGCCUCAUAGAAAGCACUAUGUGAGCGUUCACUCUAUUUUUUGUUUGUUUGUUUUUGAGACAAGAGUCUCGCUCUGCCACCCAGGCUGGACAGUGCAGUGGUGAGAUCUCAGUGGCGUGAUCUCAGCUCACUACAACCUUUGCCUCCUGGGUUCAAGCGAUUCUCCCACCUCAGUCUCCUGAGUAGCUGGGACUACAGGCACUCGCCACUACGCCGGCUAAUUUAUGUAUUUCAGUAGAGACAGGGUUUCACGUUGUUGGUCAGGCUGGUCUUGAACUCUGCUCUCAUGAUCCGACUGCCUCCGCCUCCCAAAGUGCUGGGAUUACAGGCAUGAGCCACUGCUCCCGGCUGAGUGUUCACUCUUAUUUAGAUAAUCUUUUAGAUAGGUGCUACGGAGAAAGAAAAAGCAAGGUAAGGAGUGCAAAGUCAAAGGCUGACAUUGGAUCCAGGAUGGUCCUGAAAAGCCUCCCUGAUGUGUAAACAUUUGACUUGAAGUGAUACCUGGAUAAACAAAAAUUCCAAGCAGACAUUAACUCCUUUAGGGUUGAGAAAUCCUAAACAACAUGCUUGACAUCCUCGAACAAUUGUAAGAAGGUCAUUGUAUUUGGAAUAGUAUGAGCCAGGAGAGAGAAAAGUAGAUGAAGUCAGGGCAAAUUAUGUGGCCCCUUUGUAGCACUUUAAAGCUUUGGCUUUACUCUCUAUCCACUGGCCCCAGGCUUCAGGAGUAAGCAUGCAAAUGAGAUCCUGCCAAUCAAAGCUUAGCCUUCAAUGAACAAGCACUUACUCAAAACUAAUCAUGGUCCCAGAAUGUUCAUCCCGGGAAUUCUGCUGCCUGGAAAGAAGCUAGAAUUGUUACAGGAGAGUAAGUUGGCAUUAAGUGGCCAUUCCUGCACCAGUGAAUUGAGGGCAUGUCUGAAAGUGCUGCCAAAAGUGGUUUUACUUUUACAGAAGAAAGUAAAACCGCCGGGUGCGGUGGCUCAAGCCUGUAGUCCCAGCACUUUGGGAGGCCGAGGCGGGCGGAUCACUCACGAGGUCAAGAAAUCGAGUCCGUCUCUACUAAAAAUACAAAAAAUUAGCUGGGCAUGGUGGCGCGUGCCUGUAGUCCCAGCUACUCGGGAGGCUGAGCCUGAACCCGGGAGGUGGAGGUUGCGGUGAGCCAAGGUUGCGAUUGCACUCCAGCCUGGGUAACAAGAGCGAAACUCUGUCUCAAAAAAAAAAAAAAAAAGUAGUCAGAAGCAAUGGAGUCACUGAAUCAAAAUGGAAAGGAGUAAAUGGCCUGCAUUAAAGGAAGAAAAUCCAGAAAAAAGUUAAGGAGAGUGGCUGGAUGUGGUGGCUCACGCCUGUAAUCCCAGCACUUUAGGAGGCUAAGGCUGAUGGAGGCUGAGGUCAGGAGUUCAAGACCAGACUGGCCACAUGGUGAAACCCCAUCUCUACUAAAAUACAAAAAUUAGCUGGGCAUGGUGGCAGGUGCCUGUAAUCUGAGCUACUCAGGAGGCUAAGGCAAGAGAAUCGCUUGAACUCAGGAGCUGGAGGUUGCAGUGAGCCGAAAUCAUGCCAUUUCACUCCAGCCUGGGUGACAGGGUGAGACUCCGUCUCUAAAUAAAGAAAUAAAGAAAUAAAUAAAAUAAAUCCUUAAAUGUGUGGCAAUGCAUUUUAAAUAAGCGGUUAUGAAGUCUAAUUGCAUGGAAAGAUACUUUUUUUUUUCUUUUUUUGCUAAGCACUGUUCUAGGCAUUGAGGAUUCAUCAAGAAGCAAAACCCAACUGUCUGUAUUUCAUAGAUUUUACCUUCUAGUAAGGGAAGACAGAACAGUAAAUUAUAAGGAAAUAAGUUUUCUGAAUGCAGUAUUUGAUAUAAGAUUAACCGGCUGGGUGCAGUGGCUCAUACCUAGAAUCCCAGCACUUUGGGAGGCCGACAUGGGCACAUUACCACAUCAGUAGUUCGAGACCAGCCUGAACAAUAUGGUGAAACCCUGUCUCUACUAAAAAUACAAAAAUUAGCCAGGUGUGGUGGCAUGCACCUGUAGUCCCAGCUACUUGGGAGGCUGAGGCAGAAGAAUUGCUUAAACCCAGGAGGCGGAGGUUGCAGUGAGCCGAGAUCAUGCCAUUGCGCUCCAGACUGGAUGACAGAGGGAGACUCCAUGUCAAAAAAGAAACAUACGGAAUAUAUAAGAUUAACCUUUUCAUUCAUUCAUUCAUUCAUCCAUCCAUUCAAACUGCUUUUUGGAGCGACUUCUACAUGCCUGAUGCUGGAUAGAAGGGAAGUAAUAGUGAACAAACAAGUUCCUAACACCUGCAGCUUCCAGUUUAAUGGGCAGGAUUGGGUAUUUUGCACUAUGAUGGGACAGCACAUAAAAAGGCAAUGGCCAGGUGUGGCGGCUUAUGCCUGUAAUCCUAGCACUUUGGGAGGGCAAGACAGUGAUAUAGGAGUUAAAAAGAAUUAUUUAGGCAAAUAGUGAGGGUAAGGAAGUCCUCGGUAAGGUUUUCCUUGUAAUAAAAGCAGCCCCCAAAUAAUUUUUUCUGACAAAAAGCAGCCUGUAAAAUCCAGCUGCAGACAUAGAUAAGCAAGCUGGAAGCUUGCAUGGGUGAAUGCCGGCCGCUGCGACAAUAGGGAAAGGCUACCUGGGGUCUAGGCAUUUCAACAUUGCAGUGCCAUCUUCCCUGUUCUUUGCCAAUCGUGUAUAGUAAGGAGCAGAUAAUGUGGUGCCAGCCAGGUAAAAAAUCCAUUUGCAUAAUAAAAAAUUAGGUAUAAAAAUCCAUUGGCAUAAUUAAAAAUUAGGUAAAAAUCCAUUUGCAUAAUAAAAAAUUAGGUAUGAAAAUCCAUUUGCAUAAUAAAAAAUUAGGUAAAAAAUCCAUUUGCUUAAUAAAAAAUUAGGUAUAAAAAUCCAUUUGCAUAAUAAAAAUACAAAAAUUAGCCAGGCAUGGUGACAGGUGCCUGUAAUCUGAGCUACUUGGGAGGCUAAGGCAGGAGAAUCACUUGAAUGUGGGAGGUGGAGAUUGCAGUGAGCCAAGAUCACACCACUGCACUCUCUAGCCUGGGCAACAGAGGGCAACUGUCUCAAAAAAAAAAAAGGAAACGUCAUAUUUAUGUAGAUGUUCAGUUUACAAAGCCCUUAUACAUAACAUUUAUUAUUUAAAGCAGCAAAUGCCAGGGAGGUGGGUAUAAAUCAAAGCAAUGACCCCUCUAAAUGCAAUGUGGUAUUGUCAGAGGCUUUGAACCAGAGUGACUCCAUCUUGAAUUAGGGCUGAGACCUACUGGGCUGCAUUCCAAGGAGGUUAGGACUUCUUAGUCAACAGGAUAUUUAGAAUUAAGGGAACAAGUUAUUAAUGUUUACUGAACAGACCUUAAUAGGACCAGGACUUAGACCCAGGAAAUAUAACAAUAGGCCCAGGAAAUAUCCUGAUGUCCCAAUAUCUCAACAACAAAAGCGUUCUUUUUUUUUAUUUUAUUUUUUAUAAGACAGGGUUUCACCAUGUUGGUCAGGCUGGUCUUGAACUCCCAACCUCAUGUGAUCCGCCCUCCUUGGCCUCCAAAGUGCUUGGAUUACAGGCGUGAGCCACCAUGCCCGGCCAAAAGCAUUAUUAGUUAAGAAUAAGUUUUUCUUAUUAAAGAUAAUAAUAUAGGUUCUUACCAAAUACAGCAGUUACACAAAGUAGUUACACAAUCAUUGUCACAAGCCCCUGUAGUAGAGCACAUCUCCCCCAUGAUUAUUUGCUUUUUUAUUUCAUAUUAAACAAGCAUUGGACCUAAGGUGGCCGCCUUCCUCCUCUUGCUUCUGAAACUCCCUGCUCUGUCCAUGGAGUAGCCAUUCUUUCAUUCCUUUACUUUCUUAAUAAACUUGCUUUCACUUUACUCUGUGGACUCCUCCAAAAUCUUUCUUGCGGGAGAUCCAAGAUCUCUCUCGUGGGGUCUGGAUCGGGAUCUCUUUCUGGUAAUACCAUUCUAGAAUUGAUUCUGGAACUUAAAAAGAACAUGGGGGAAAGCUGAUCCAUGGUUUAGUAUUGUACCAAGGUUAAGUCGAUAAAUGGUACCACGGUUAUAAGAUUAACAGUAGAGGAAGCUGGGUGAAAAGUAUACAGGAACUCUAUACUAUCUAUUAAACUGUGACAGAUGGGAAGGUUCUUCAAAGUUUGUAUCUUAGAUUACAUUAUAAGGAGUUGCGAUCUCUUGCUGUAUGGCCAUUAUCUGCUAUUGGCAUAAACAUAUAACCAUGUGUAUAUGCUUAGCUACUUUGACUUGCUCUGGCCUGUCUGAACAGAACUGGGCAAGCUCCAAACCCUGGUGCAUGCCAUUCCUUAUUUAGAAACCCUCCUGACCUCCUGACUAGCUUCCUCUUCUUACUUGUCUUCUUUCCCCCUCAUCUAUUCAGGAAAUUUCCAAGUUUUUAGCCAAUCAGGUAAAGCAUAGACUGUGAGGUCCCGUUCUGGCCAAUGGAAACUGGACACAGCAGUAGGGCGAUUGUGUCAGGUUAUGAAAGUUAUAAAUGCCUCCAUCUCCCUUGUUCAGGUGCUCUUGUGGCAAGACUGCCAGUGAGUUGCACCCUUUCUGCAGGAAGUAAACUAACCUUGAUGAGUGAUCCAUUGUCUCUGUGUGGACAUUUCCCAAUGUUAUAAACCCGUUUCCAACAAAACUUUUUUUUGUAAAUCUGAAAUUUUAAGAUAAGAAGUUAGAAAACACCCACGACUCUGACUCAGCUGAGCCUUUGUCCUGCCAGGGCAUCUUCCUCACUGUCAGAAAAGACAGUGCCAAACAGCAUCUUGUAAAGCAAGAGCAUUUCAGCUCAGUGGCUACGGCUGAAGGCUGUGCUGGAUAGAAGCUCCGGAAACAGAAGAGGCUGAGUCCGGGGUGAUCCUGAGGGUGAAUAAUGGCCAAACCUACACUGGAUCCUCAAUUCUGCAAUUCUGUCCCUUGGCUUUGAAAUUCACAGUGAUUUUUCUCACUUGUGGAUUUUCCUUCCCUAAAAUGCUUUGCUGUCUCAAGAAUUAAAACAGUUUGUAUUUUACUCACUUGCUCACUUCAACUGGGUCCCAGGAGGAAAUGGCCAUCGGUCAUGAAGAAGUUAGAAGUGGGAUUGGAUUGUGUGGCUACUGAUAAGCACAAGAUAAGCACAAAGGGGAAGCCCGGGACUUGCAGGGAGUGGUUUUCCAGGCCAGAAGCUUUAUCCAGCUCCUACACUCUUUCCACCCACACAGAAGAGUCAUUGUUUUUAUUCAUAUCUACCUCCCCAAGGUUUGUGUGGAUUAGAUGAUAAAUCCAUGUAAAAGGGCUUUACACACUAUAAAUAUGACCGGCAUUCAUUCAGGUUCUGGUGCGCUGUCUAUAUGUAUAUGCAUAAUUAAGAGAAAGUGUUUUUUAUUCUCUGUGCCCUCUCAUCCCUCACGUUUUUGUUUUUGUUUUAAAUGAAAAGGCCUGUUUUGUUUUAAAUGAGUGCCUUUCUAUCUGAUUAUAAUUCUGAAUGCGAUUCACAUUGGAAGCUAUGGAUACAUUUGGUAACAACUGUGCCCUCAGCCUUAGAACUGGGUGAAUUCUAAGCAUUGUUCAGCUUCUCAAAUACUAAGGAGGAGCACAACAGGAAAGACCUGGGCCUGCAGCGGGUAGCUGUCUGAGCCUGAAGCUUCAGCAGGUCCCUGUACUCCCUUCACACACACACACACCGCCCCAACCCCAUUCCUCCUGCCGAGUUCUCAUCUAGUACCAGUCUGUGUAGGUCACCCUGCUCCAGUGUCUCCCUGCUCCAGGGUCUCCCCAUCAAUACCCACUCCUUGCCUUUUUCCCCUGCUACAGCUGUGGGUCAGGUCCACACAGGGCCUCAUCAGGAUUCCUGAAAUCGCUUCGAAAAACCUCCCAGCCUCAGUUCUCACUUGCCGCUUCCAAACAAUCAGUGCUACCAUCACAGUAUAAUCAUCAGAAGGUUGAAAACAUGCCUCAAGAAUGAAGGUGAACAUGUGACAAACAUUUUUUAUUUUUAUUGUUUUAUUUUUUUGAGACAGAGUGUUGCUCUGUUGCCCAGGCUGGAGUGCAGUGGGGCUAUGUCAGCUCACUGGGUUCAAGCAAUUCUCCUGCCUCAGCUUCCCGAGGAACUGGGAUUACAGGCGUGAGCCACCACGUCCUGCCACAGAGAUUUAUUUAUUUUUAUUUAUUUAUUUUUGAGAUGGAGUCUUGCUCUGUCACCCAGGCUGGAGUGCAGUAGUGUCAUCUCUGUCAUUUCCACUCACCACAGCCUCCGCCUCUUAGUUCAAGUGAUUCUUCUGCCUCAGCCUCCAGAGUAGCUGAGAUUACAGGCGUGUACCACCAUGCCUGGCUAAGUUUUUGUAUUUUUAGUAGGGAGAGGGGUUUCACCAUGUUGGCCAGGAUGGUCUGGAACUCCUGACCUUGUGAUCCACCCGAUUUGGCUAAUCCCCAAGUGCUGGUAUUACAGGCAUGAGCCACACUGCCUGGCCACCACAAAGAUUUAUUUUUAACUCAUUAACGAAGAAACCAGCAGAAUGGUAAAUCUAGUUCAAAGGAAAAUUCAAGAAACUAAAUAGUCAUAGUGUUAUUCACAUCCAGUCGUACUGAAUGUUAAAUGCAUUUGAUAAAGAGAUCUUCCAAACAGGCUUUGUGUGGGCAACAAGGCCGUUUCAUUUCUCACUUUGGUGCAAGGGAGCCAAAUCUGAGAAAAGACAGGCGAAGGGGGUAAGGUAGGAGUUGGCUUUAUA
This is a non-coding RNA of Callithrix jacchus (white-tufted-ear marmoset), 10505 nucleotides long. The record is from RefSeq and is a predicted model, not a curated record. NCBI's taxonomy places the organism in Eukaryota, Metazoa, Chordata, Mammalia, Primates, Cebidae.